This 468-nucleotide ribosomal RNA is filed under the name uncultured bacterium. Its description in RNAcentral is "partial 16S ribosomal RNA". It matches the Rfam family "Bacterial small subunit ribosomal RNA", at positions 28 to 507 of the family's 1533-position model. The record is from RNAcentral.
GACGAACGCUGGCGACGUGCUUAACACAUGCAAGUCGAACGGAAAGGCCCUGCUUUUGUGGGGUGCUCGAGUGGCGAACGGGUGAGUAACACGUGAGUAACCUGCCCUUGACUUUGGGAUAACUUCAGGAAACUGGGGCUAAUACCGGAUAGGAGCUCCUGCUGCAUGGUGGGGGUUGGAAAGUUUCGGCGGUUGGGGAUGGACUCGCGGCUUAUCAGCUUGUUGGUGGGGUAGUGGCUUACCAAGGCUUUGACGGGUAGCCGGCCUGAGAGGGUGACCGGCCACAUGGGGACUGAGAGACGGCGCAGACUCCUACGGGAGGCAGCAGUGGGGAAUAUUGCACAAUGGGCGGAAGCCUGAGGCAGCAACGCCGCGUGCGGGAUGACGGCCUUCGGGUUGUAAACCGCUUUCGCCUGUGACGAAGCGGGAGUGACGGUAAUGGGUAAAGAAGCACCGGCUAACUACGUG